GACGAACGCUGGCGGCGUGCCUAAUACAUGCAAGUAGAACGCUGAAGCGAGGAGCUUGCUCUUCUUGGAUGAGUCGCGAACGGGUGAGUAACGCGUAGGUAACCUGCCUUGUAGCGGGGGAAAACUAGUGGAAACGAUAGCUAAUACCGCAUAACAAUGGAUGACACAUGUGAUGUAGUUGAAAGGGGCAAUUGCUCCACUACAAGAUGGACUUGCGUUGUAUUAGGUAGUAGGUGAGGUAAUGGCUCAUCUAGGCGAGGUUACAUAGCCGACCUGAGAGGGUGGUCAGCCACACUGGGAGUGAGACACGGCCCAGACUCCUACGGGAGGCAGCAGUAGGGAAUCGUCGGCAAGGGGGGGAAACCUGACCGAGCAACGCCGCAGGAGUGAGGAGGGUUUUCGGAUCGGGAAGCUCUGUUGUAAGUCAAGAACGGGUGUGAGAGUGGAAAGUUCACACUGUGGCGGUAAUUUACCAGAAAGGGACGGCUAACUACGUG
RNAcentral lists this ribosomal RNA (497 nucleotides) under uncultured bacterium. Its description in RNAcentral is "partial 16S ribosomal RNA". It matches the Rfam family "Bacterial small subunit ribosomal RNA", at positions 28 to 507 of the family's 1533-position model. The record is from RNAcentral.